RNAcentral lists this microRNA precursor (99 nucleotides) under Arenicella xantha. RNAcentral describes it as "microRNA mir-598". The record is from RNAcentral. Lineage: Bacteria; Pseudomonadati; Pseudomonadota; Gammaproteobacteria; Arenicellales; Arenicellaceae.
UCGUCAUGGUCAUCAUCAUGCUCGUCAUGAUCAUCAUCGUGAUCGUCAUGAUCAUCAUCGUGAUCGUCAUGAUCAUCAUCGUGAUCGUCAUGAUCAUCA